This 426-nucleotide RNase P RNA is filed under the name uncultured Lachnospira sp. Its description in RNAcentral is "Bacterial RNase P class A". It matches the Rfam family "Bacterial RNase P class A". Rfam says of the family: Ribonuclease P (RNase P) is a ubiquitous endoribonuclease, found in archaea, bacteria and eukarya as well as chloroplasts and mitochondria. Its best characterised activity is the generation of mature 5'-ends of tRNAs by cleaving the 5'-leader elements of precursor-tRNAs. Cellular RNase Ps are ribonucleoproteins. The record is from RNAcentral. Lineage: Bacteria; Bacillati; Bacillota; Clostridia; Lachnospirales; Lachnospiraceae.
GUAGUGCGGAUAAUCGCGGCUGAAUUUGCCGAAAGGCGUCAGGUGAGGAAAGUCCGGGCUUCAUAGGGCAGGAUGCCAGAUAACGUCUGGUGGAGGCGACUCUAAGGAAAGUGCAACAGAAAUAUACCGCCUGUUUUCAUUUACGGCAGUUAAGCUGCCGUGGUAUCAGGCUGCUUGUCAGUCUGAAACGUUUUGCAUCGCGAUGAAAACAAGGUAAGGGUGGAAAGGCAGUGUAAGAGACUACCGCGCUGCUGGUAACAGCAGCGGCCAUGUAAACCCCAUCCGAAGCAAGUCCAAGCAAAAGCUAUACGGCGGCCCGUCGUGCUUUUAGGUAGGACGCUUGAUUCCGCCGGUGACGGCGGAGCUAGAUAGAUGAUUAUCACACACUUAAGGUGUGGACAUAACCCGGCUUACAGCACUGCUCAU